Molecule: long non-coding RNA, 661 nt
Organism: Durio zibethinus
Lineage: Eukaryota; Viridiplantae; Streptophyta; Magnoliopsida; Malvales; Malvaceae
Source: RefSeq, a predicted model, not a curated record
GUUUUAUUUAUUUAGAUUUAGACCAGAGUUCGGAGUUUAGUCAUAGGCGGUUGGUAAGAUUCAGAAUAUCAAGCAUCGGGGAAGAAGAGAAAAAAGAAAUGGCCUUGAUGAGGGGACAGCCUUUGGUGACAAAGCUAGCAGCUUUGUCCAAGUACGUGCUGCUACCGGCUACCAUGGUUGCUGCCCUUAUUCACUCUCCUCCCAACUACGCUUCUUCCAAGAAGGACAAAUCCCCCACUUAAUUUCUCUCUUUCGAUUUUCUCCUGGGCUAUGUGCCUAUUUUCAAUAAUGGGAUUUCUUCAAGAUUUCAGCAUAUUGUUUCUAGGUAUGUAGAGAGUUGAUUGCUUGCCUUCAAAGAACUUUUGAGUUACAAUCUUCUCAGACCGUAAAAAAAAAGGAAGGACAUUAUGCAAUGAAUAUGAAAUUGGCCCAUUAAUUACGCUGUUGAAUAAUUUGGAUUAAUAUGUUGUUAAAUGAUCAUCAAUGCUCUCUAUUUUUCUAAUUAAGCUUGCCUCAGAUUGUUGGGCCCACUUGAACCUAGAAAUGUUAUAAUAUGGUCACUUGCAGCUAGAAAUUUGGUGGAUUAAUUGUGUCCCAUUGUUACUAUUUAUUGGGGUGAGAGAGUGAAGGAAAUUAGUAAAUGUGGUUUCUAGUUUUACCA